ACCAAGAAAAGGGUCUGUUACCUACUCGAUCUCACUAGUUUAUCCAAGUAAUUGAUUUUAUUUACUGUUUUGUCAGAGAAAGAAAUCUGGGCUACACAGCUGGGGAAAAUGUAAAGACUGAAAGAAGUCUACACAGUUAAUGCAGUAAAUAAUUUUUGAGUGGCUCUGUGUACUCACAUGCUCAGGGCAGGAUAGAAAAUACAGAUCCUGCCAUUAAGACACAGUUUUGUGUAGUGUCUUUCAUUGGUUAAAAGGAAGAGGUCACUGGUAGCCUUGGAGCAGAAGAAGUACUAGACAGCCUCUUUUGGGGGCUUGGCCAGGAAGCAGUCUACAUGGUCAGUGGGGAUGAAAGAGGCUCCAGUAUUAGUAGAAUCUCAGAGCUGUUUUGUUUUUUUAUUAAAGUGGAUCUUACUCCUUUGACAGCUCAUGAAGAAUGUUACUGUUCCAGAGUAUUGGUCUGGGUGUUUGCAGUUUGUUUUUGUUUUGUGUGAAUUGAACUAUAUUAUAAGUAGUUAAAGACAUAUAAGAACGUUUUCCCAAACCAGUGUCUCUGCUCAUUCUAUUUAAGUCUCUUCAUUUUAUUUAUUCAUUCAUUCUAAAAUGUGAGUGCCUACUAUAUACAUCUACCAUCCUAGGUAUUGGGAAGAAAAUAAAAUUCUUGCUCUCAAGGAGCUUACAUUACAGUGGGAAAGACAGUGAAUAAACAAAUGCCGUGUAUGUGCAUGCAUUUAUAUACUUAAUGUAAACAUGCAAGCAGGGUAAGUGACUGGGAGAGUAAUGGGGAGUGCUGUUUUAGCAGUGGUUGUCAGGAAAGGUCUUACUGAGGAAGUAGCAUUUUGAGUAGCAUCCCAAGUAAAACAGGGCAGUAAGUCUUGUCAGAAGGAACAAGAAUAGAAUCCCUGAGGCUUCAGAGCUCAGCAUGAUCAAGGAAGAGUGUGACCAGUGUUGCUAAAGAGGAGUGAAGAAAGGUGCUAUGGCUGAAGAUGAGUAAGGUUGGGACUCAGAAGUGUAGGGGACACAUUGCAAGUUGGGCCAGGGAAGUAACAGGAUAUAAUUUAUGUUUUGAAGCAGUGGCUGUAACAGAUGUUUGGGAAAUAGAGUCUAGGGGUUUAGGCUAAGAAGCAGGGAAACAGCAUUCUUGCCAUGGUCUGUCUACGUAAGGGAUGACAGGGGUGGCUGUGGAUAAGGUAUGGGAGAGUGGUUGUAUUGGGGUUAUAUUUGAAGGUAGAGCCAACGGGGAUUAUAUCUCUCCCACAAGCCCAUCUAUCAAGUUACCUGCAUUAUUAAUUUGAGACAUGCCUGGCUAAAAGAAUGACUUUUGACUAAAUAAAUCUGUAUAUCCUGUACUUCCUCUAGUUGUCCAGAUGUCUCUUUAAGUCAUGUACUUUUUUGGCAAGUAAAUGACGUAAUGUAGGGGCCUACAGAUUCACUUCAUUUACUCAGAAGUCAUUUAAGUGAUUCCUGUGUGCUGAACACUGUACUGAAUGCCAAGGAUACAAAUAGGAGGAUGUAGUCUCAGUUUGUUUUAAUCCAGUUUACUCCCUUUGUUAGGACACUGACUUGGUAAACCUGUAGUUAUCCUAUAAAAUGCAGGGGUUUUGUCUCUUAUCAGACCCUGUAUUCCCUGAUUCAAAAAUUAUGCCUGGCACAUGGCAGGCACUCAUUACAUAUUUGUUGAUUGGAUUAACCUAGAAGAGUUUCAGUAGAGAUUACCUGGGUGGCAAGAUUAUGCAUCAUAUUUAUUUUAAGCAAAAAAUAAUUUUUUUUAACUGGCAUAGACACUAAAGAUGAUUAACUUGAGGAUCCUCACAGAGCCUCAUUUCCCCCUUCUCAGACCCAAAAUAGUGGAUAUUUUCUUAGCAUUUUCAAGUUCAUGCAAGUCUUUGAUGGUACAUCUGUGGAUAUCACCUCCUUAUCCUAUAAAUGAAGAAGCUGAGGAUGAGGGAAACUAUAAUUUGUUAGGGAUCACAUGGCAGAUUAAUAGCAACUCAAGGGCUUUGGUUUUUAACAGUACUUGGCAGUCCAGCCUCACUUCUCCCUUCCUCUCCUUCCUUGCUGAGGGCUUCUGCAGAGAGUAUCCAUCAGUUGCCAGUCUACAGUUUCAGUUUGGGUUUUGAAACCCUGAUAGAGCACAGAGAAAAAGAUUGAGUUUUAAGAAGGGUGUGUCUCAGAGGCUUCUGAGUGUGUGAGAACUUUGGUUGCAGGGCAAGCAAGGUAACUUUAAAAGUUACAUUCAAAUCAUCUAGGAGAAAGUGUAACAAGAGGGAAUUGUAAAGGGUGUUGUGAGCAUGAGAUCCCUGUAGUGACUGUCCUCUAGUGUCUGGAUGCAGUGGUAGGAGACAAAGCUGUACGUACAUUGUGUAAGUACUUGUGUCUCAUAUUAAGAAACCUCCAUUCCUGUCAUAGAGGUAUCAGGAAUUUCUAAGCAGAAUACCGACCAGAUGCAUUUUUCUAACAGUAGUGUAGGAACAAAUUGCAAUUGAGGAGAGACUGGUAUUAGAGAAAUCAGUGGAAUAGCAGAAUAGCUAGUGCUGUACAUAGGGGG
Long non-coding RNA from Phyllostomus discolor (pale spear-nosed bat), 2545 nucleotides. RefSeq lists it as uncharacterized. Lineage: Eukaryota; Metazoa; Chordata; Mammalia; Chiroptera; Phyllostomidae. The transcript is spliced from 2 exons. The record is from RefSeq and is a predicted model, not a curated record.